GACGUAGGGGGCCAGCGUUGCUCGGAAUUACUGGGCGUAAAGGGUUCGUAGGCGGUGUGGCAAGUCGGGAGUGAAAUCUCUGGGCUUAACCCAGAGGCUGCUUCCGAAACUGCCGUGCUAGAGUGCGGGAGAGGCGAGUGGAAUUGCAGGUGUAGCGGUGAAAUGCGUAGAUAUCUGCAGGAACACCCGUGGCGAAGGCGGCUCGCUGGACCGCAACUGACGCUGAGGAACGAAAGCUAGGGGAGCAAACAGG
This 253-nucleotide ribosomal RNA is filed under the name uncultured bacterium. RNAcentral describes it as "partial 16S ribosomal RNA". It matches the Rfam family "Bacterial small subunit ribosomal RNA", at positions 524 to 776 of the family's 1533-position model. The record is from RNAcentral.